RNAcentral lists this ribosomal RNA (253 nucleotides) under uncultured bacterium. RNAcentral's name for it is "partial 16S ribosomal RNA". It matches the Rfam family "Bacterial small subunit ribosomal RNA", at positions 524 to 776 of the family's 1533-position model. The record is from RNAcentral.
UACGGAGGGUGCAAGCGUUCUCCGGAUUCACUGGGUUUAAAGGGUGCGUAGGUGGGCAGGUAAGUCAGUGGUGAAAUCUCCGGGCUUAACUCGGAAACUGCCAUUGAUACUAUCUUUCUUGAAUACCGUGGAGGUCAGCGGAAUAUGUCAUGUAGCGGUGAAAUGCUUAGAUAUGACAUAGAACACCAAUUGCGAAGGCAGCUGGCUACACGAAUAUUGACACUGAUGCACGAAAGCGUGGGGAUCAAACAGG